Molecule: non-coding RNA, 27 nt
Filed under: Cricetulus griseus (Chinese hamster)
Lineage: Eukaryota; Metazoa; Chordata; Mammalia; Rodentia; Cricetidae
Source: RNAcentral
AAAUACCUUCGGGAUUACUCAAGGACC